Molecule: long non-coding RNA, 1530 nt
Filed under: Zonotrichia albicollis (white-throated sparrow)
Lineage: Eukaryota; Metazoa; Chordata; Aves; Passeriformes; Passerellidae
Description: lncRNA (ENSZALG00000015556.1)
Source: RNAcentral
UGUAGAAUGAUAAUAUGCAUGGAAGAAAACCUUGAGAAGAACUGGAGAACUGGGGUAACUCAGAGUAAAGUACACUAGCAUUCUAACAAGACAACAGAUAUUUUAACAGACUCUCUACAGCAAAACCAAAGGUAGGAGAAAUUUUCUGAUUAAAUAAAUAAUUAAAAAAAUAUUAUUCCAUUUUACACUUACUUACAUAACUUGGCAUGCUAAAGCAAAGAUCUGAGAUCAAGAAUCUUCAGAAAAAAAAAAUCAAAAUUUUAAAAUUAGUCUGAACAAUUACCAUGCUGGGGUACUUGCAAGAAAGCAACUAAUUGCUGACAGCAUAGGUUUAUGACCCAGGGAAAAAAAGUAAAAGAAGAAAUAAGAUAAAAAGAAGAGUGACAAAAAUAUGAACUUCUCAAAACUUGAUUUCAUUACCAGAUUCAUGAUCCCAGACAACUCCAUAUAAAUUUUUUUCCACCCACAGAUACAAUCUUUUAUGAUUUAGAAAGCUCAUACAGCAGCAACUUAUGGUCUUAGUGAAAAGGAAUGAAGACAAUUUAGAAAUGGCAUAACUAGACAUAGGACAUGCAGCAAGACCUCUCUAGUUCCAGGGGUUUAGUUAGUUAAUUUUAAUUUUAAGUGAACCAGUGAGACUAACUGCAGCUUAUCUGGUGUCUCCCACCUUCACACCUGCUGUGGGAACAAAAGGAAGUUGCCCAUUCACAAAUGUCAUGGAUAACUGCACUCUGCAAUUUACUGGGUUUCAAAUGAUUGGUGAAGAAAUUGUGUAGGAAUAGGAAAACUCUAUUAAGGACUCACUCUGAGAUGACAAGGGCAUUUCCACAAGCCCUACCAACAUGACAAGUGGCUUUAUUUUAUUUUUACAGUAGAAUGGGAGAGGAUGUAGACAUAAUUUUAGCAAGACCCCUGCUGAACUUCACAUCAUACUGGAAACUGGGCUCAAAAACUGAGUUGAUCUUACUAAGAGUGUGUUACCUGAUGCAAAGCAUUUACAGUCCUAUGAGGUAUGUUGAACUACUAAUUUAAAUAUCCCAAAUGAAAUAUUGUGCAGUAUUACAGUAUAGAACACUAAUAUUUCAAUGAAAAAAAUAGAGUUCAAAAUUGAAAACCAAUCUUUUGAAAAUUAAACUGUUCACCUUGUAGGAAACUGACAUAUAUUGAAUGUUGCAUUUUUUUAGCCAUUGACUUCUGACCCCACCAUACUGGUUUUUUCCUUUUCUGCUGAUACUCAUCAACUUAUGCUGGAAAACCACUCAAAUGUUCUUUAUGUACCUGUGUAUUUUUUUCGUUACAUAAAUAUUCAUAAAAUAUUUCUAAAUAAUUUUCACUAUUAGAGAAAUUGAAAUAACAAGCGAUUACUCACUUGUUUUUUAAACUAUGACUCAGUGUUCAGUUCUAAAGAAAUUCUCACAAUACAGAAGAGUAAUUUCAGGGAAAAGACUGUUGUCUGAGAGAUGACUUUUUCUCAAGGUCUUCUAGUCUACCCCCAAUAAAAGAAAAAUAUGUAAGUUUCUUAAGUAUGAA